Molecule: long non-coding RNA, 440 nt
Filed under: Parus major (Great Tit)
Lineage: Eukaryota; Metazoa; Chordata; Aves; Passeriformes; Paridae
Description: lncRNA (ENSPMJG00000003942.1)
Source: RNAcentral
CACUAAAUAAAUAUUCAGUGUUCACCUUCUACUGUGAUUUAUGAUUGAAUUUCACAGAGUUGUAGAUGAUCUGUGUGGGAGGGGACCUUGCAGACCUUGUUCCACCCCAGCCAUGGCAGGGACACCUCCCACUGUCCCAGGCUGCUCCAGCCCCAAUGUCCAGCCUGGCCUUGGGCACUGCCAGGGAUCCAGGGGCAGCCCCAGCUGUGCCAGGCACUGCCCAUCCUGCCAGCCAGGAACUCCUUCCCAGCUCCCUUCACUCCUCAUCAACAGGCUUUUACCUACAGCUCAUUCCUGGAGAGAGAACACUGCACUUGUGGUUUUUGUCUGCUUCAUUUCUGUGCUGUGUCUCCACUUGUCUGGUGUCUGAGAAAGAGCAACUGUCAGAAGUCAGCGAAGCUGCUGAAUUUCCACUCCAGCAGACGUUUCCUCCUUUGUAA